RNAcentral lists this ribosomal RNA (493 nucleotides) under uncultured bacterium. RNAcentral's name for it is "partial 16S ribosomal RNA". It matches the Rfam family "Bacterial small subunit ribosomal RNA", at positions 28 to 507 of the family's 1533-position model. The record is from RNAcentral.
GACGAACGCUGGCGGCGUGCUUAACACAUGCAAGUCGAACGGUGAAGCACCUUCCUUUUGGUGGGUGUGGAUGAGUGGCGAACGGGUGAGGAACACGUGAGUAACCUGCCCCCUUCUUCUGGAUAACCGCAUGAAAGUGUGGCUAAUACGGGAUAUUCUGGGUCUGUCGCAUGGCGGGCCUGGGAAAGAUAUUGUUUCGGUGGGGGAUGGGCUCGCGGUCUAUCAGCUUGUUGGUGGGGUGAUGGCCUACCAAGGCGGUGACGGGUAGCCGGCCUGAGAGGGUGGACGGUCACACUGGGACUGAGACACGGCCCAGACUCCUACGGGAGGCAGCAGUGGGGAAUAUUGCACAAUGGGCGCAAGCCUGAUGCAGCGACGCCGCGUGAGGGAUGGAGGCCUGCGGGUUGUAAACCUCUUUCGCCAGUGAAGCAGGCCUGUCCCUUUUGUGGGUGGGUUGACGGUAGCUGGAUAAGAAGCGCCGGCUAACUACGUG